GGCAUCAGCCUCUGGAGUUGGGUAUUGUGGGUUCAAGUCCCAUCUAAGUUGUCUUUGAAGGACCACUAUAGAUUUAAUUACAGAUCAUUUCAACCAAUUAUUGCAAUGAAAAAUAAACUGAUGCAUCAACACAUCAAAGCACUCUCUUGCUGACAUCAGGGCUUUCCUGUUGCAGUCGGGUGUGCACGUCUCCAACACCACUAUAAGACGAUACUAUAGACAUCAAAGCCCUGUAGGCCUUCCUAGAAAAACAACUGCAAGGCAAGGAAAAUGAACAGGUAUUGUGUAUUAUCAUCUUGUCAAAUCAAGUAUUUCAGCAACACUUAUGUCAAAUUGUUAAUAAAAUGAAUUAAUAAAUUAUUGUAUGUGUUUGUUGUAUAGUGCUGCACUUAAAACGAUUGACGAAAAACUGCACAAGGACAAUGAGCGAUCUGCUAAAAAGAUUCAGAGUGAGCUUCUGUUUAGAAUACAGUUAAAAGCAUCAGUCUGCAAUAUUAGAAAACCAGUAAAACAACUCAGGUGGACCUAUGGAAAAGCCAGGCUAUUUGCUUUAUACGAGCUUACAUGUCCUACAAAUUUAUUAAUAGGACAUACCCUAUUAAUAAACCGCCAUGUUGUGAAACCGAAAGCAAAGCAUCCAGUAAAAAUUCAUGUCUGGGGAGCCAUAUUCCAUCAGGGACCAAACCGCUAGUUGUGUUAGAAGGAAUUAUGGACAGAUGUUUUUACGAAGACACUAUAAUAAAAUUCAAUCAGGCUCCAUACGUAAAACAACACUUUAAGAACCAUAUCACUUCUUCCAAGGUAGAUACAGUAUGUAGGCCUACUGUACCAACUGUGUGUGUGUGUGUGUGUACAUGUUCACUGAUGUGU
Molecule: non-coding RNA, 870 nt
Organism: Danio rerio (zebrafish)
Lineage: Eukaryota; Metazoa; Chordata; Actinopteri; Cypriniformes; Danionidae
Source: RefSeq, a predicted model, not a curated record